GCUCUGGGAUAAGCCUGGGAAACUGGGUCUAAUACCGGAUAUGACUGAUCAUCGCAUGGUGGUUGGUGGAAAGCUUUUGUGGUUUUGGAUGGACUCGCGGCCUAUCAGCUUGUUGGUGGGGUAAUGGCCUACCAAGGCGACAACGGGUAGCCGGCCUGAGAGGGUGACCGGCCACACUGGGACUGAAACACGGCCCAAACUCCUACGGGAGGCAGCAGUGGGGAAUAUUGCACAAUGGGCGAAAGCCUGAUGCAGCGACGCCGCGUGAGGGAUGACGGCCUUCGGGUUGUAAACCUCUUUCAGUAGGGAAGAAGCGAAAGUGACGGUACCUGCAGAAGAAGCGCCGGCUAACUACGUGCCAGCAGCCGCGGUAAUACGUAGGGCGCAAGCGUUAUCCGGAAUUAUUGGGCGUAAAGAGCUCGUAGGCGGUUUGUCGCGUCUGCCGUGAAAGUCCGGGGCUCAACUCCGGAUCUGCGGUGGGUACGGGCAGACUAGAGUGAUGUAGGGGAGACUGGAAUUCCUGGUGUAGCGGUGAAAUGCGCAGAUAUCAGGAGGAACACCGAUGGCGAAGGCAGGUCUCUGGGCAUUAACUGACGCUGAGGAGCGAAAGCAUGGGGAGCGAACAGGAUUAGAUACCCUGGUAGUCCAUGCCGUAAACGUUGGGCACUAGGUGUGGGGGACAUUCCACGUUUUCCGCGCCGUAGCUAACGCAUUAAGUGCCCCGCCUGGGGAGUACGGCCGCAAGGCUAAAACUCAAAGGAAUUGACGGGGGCCCGCACAAGCGGCGGAGCAUGCGGAUUAAUUCGAUGCAACGCGAAGAACCUUACCAAGGCUUGACAUGAACCAGACCGGGCUGGAAACAGUCCUUCCCCUUUGGGGUUGGUUUACAGGUGGUGCAUGGUUGUCGUCAGCUCGUGUCGUGAGAUGUUGGGUUAAGUCCCGCAACGAGCGCAACCCUCGUUCCAUGUUGCCAGCGGGUAGUGCCGGGGACUCAUGGGAGACUGCCGGGGUCAACUCGGAGGAAGGUGGGGACGACGUCAAAUCAUCAUGCCCCUUAUGUCCGGGCUUCACGCAUGCUACAAUGGCCGGUACAAAGGGUUGCGAUACUGUGAGGUGGAGCUAAUCCCAAAAA
This 1132-nucleotide ribosomal RNA is filed under the name Arthrobacter sp. YNd-10. Its description in RNAcentral is "bacterial SSU rRNA". It matches the Rfam family "Bacterial small subunit ribosomal RNA", at positions 135 to 1280 of the family's 1533-position model. The record is from RNAcentral. Lineage: Bacteria; Bacillati; Actinomycetota; Actinomycetes; Micrococcales; Micrococcaceae.